CAGCAGCCACGGGAAUACGAAGGGGGCUAGCGUUGCUCGGAAUUACUGGGCGUAAAGGGAGCGUAGGCGGACAUUUAAGUCAGGGGUGAAAUCCCGGGGCUCAACCUCGGAAUUGCCUUUGAUACUGGGUGUCUUGAGUAUGAGAGAGGUAUGUGGAACUCCGAGUGUAGAGGUGAAAUUCGUAGAUAUUCGGAAGAACACCAGUGGCGAAGGCGACAUACUGGCUCAUUACUGACGCUGAGGCUCGAAAGCGUGGGGAGCAAACAGGAUUAGAUACCCGGGUAGUCCCUGUCUCUUAUAC
Molecule: ribosomal RNA, 301 nt
Filed under: uncultured bacterium
Lineage: Bacteria
Description: partial 16S ribosomal RNA
Rfam family: Bacterial small subunit ribosomal RNA
Source: RNAcentral